UACGUAGGGGGCUAGCGUUGUCCGGAUUUAUUGGGCGUAAAGAGCGUGUAGGCGGCCAGGUAGGUCUGGUGUGAAAACUCGAGGCUCAACCUCGAGAUGUCAUCGGAAACCAUCUGGCUAGAGUCCGGAAGAGGAGAGUGGAAUUCCUGGUGUAGCGGUGAAAUGCGCAGAUAUCAGGAAGAACACCUAUGGCGAAAGCAGCUCUCUGGGACGGUACUGACGCUGAGACGCGAAAGCGUGGGGAGCGAACAGGAUUAGAAACCCGGGUAGU
This 271-nucleotide ribosomal RNA is filed under the name uncultured bacterium. RNAcentral describes it as "partial 16S ribosomal RNA". It matches the Rfam family "Bacterial small subunit ribosomal RNA", at positions 524 to 794 of the family's 1533-position model. The record is from RNAcentral.